CGGCGGACGGGUGAGUAACACGUGGAUAACCUACCUAUAAGACUGGGAUAACUUCGGGAAACCGGAGCUAAUACCGGAUAAUAUAUUGAACCGCAUGGUUCAAUAGUGAAAGACGGUUUUGCUGUCACUUAUAGAUGGAUCCGCGUCGCAUUAGCUAGUUGGUAAGGCAACGGCUUACCAAGGCAACGAUGCGUAGCCGACCUGAGAGGGUGAUCGGCCACACUGGAACUGAGACACGGUCCAG
Molecule: ribosomal RNA, 244 nt
Filed under: uncultured Staphylococcus sp.
Lineage: Bacteria; Bacillati; Bacillota; Bacilli; Caryophanales; Staphylococcaceae
Description: partial 16S ribosomal RNA
Rfam family: Bacterial small subunit ribosomal RNA
Source: RNAcentral